RNAcentral lists this long non-coding RNA (633 nucleotides) under Homo sapiens (human). RNAcentral's name for it is "non-protein coding MIR124-2HG:22". The record is from RNAcentral. Lineage: Eukaryota; Metazoa; Chordata; Mammalia; Primates; Hominidae.
AAUUCUGGAUCAGCAAGCGAGGGGGAAAGACCGGACCGCUCCGACCCACCCCCUCCCUACCCCCACCUCCCACCUUAAAGCACCUUAUACCACGGAAGGCUCUCAGCCUCUUCUUUCCUCUGCGAACGCGCUGAGCAGCGAUUGAAAACGUUUUGGUCCUCUGCAGGUUUGAACAGGGCUAGCAGGUCUCUCUCCGGAUUUCUAGGGCUAUGGGGGCGCAUUCUGGGGUCUCUGCGCAAGACCAGCUCUCAGCUCUCUCUCCUUUCCUCGGACUCUGGAGCGGGAGCGGGCCUUUCCCUCGGGUCGACCACGCCGUAGGGGACGCCGUGAAAAGAGCCGUCGCGCCCGCUGCCUCCUGCCCGCUGCGCAGAGGGCUCCGCCCGUAGAGGUCAACUUCCCUCACCCUUUUCUCUCUCCUGCUUGCCCUCCCUCCGCCCGGCCCAGGCGCUUCCAGCCCCAGACUGUGGCCACUGGCUGAGGAGUGCGAGUCGGCUGCGCUGCCCUGAGCCUAAUCCCUCUUCCGGGCCCAGACCCGAGGUCCGCGCUCCUGGGCAGUGGGGAAGCUUUAGUGAGCAGGCUUUUCUCUCCGCAGCAAACUUGUAGCCAGACCAGAUGGGCCGCCCAGCUCUCUCG